Molecule: microRNA precursor, 189 nt
Filed under: Nicotiana sylvestris (wood tobacco)
Lineage: Eukaryota; Viridiplantae; Streptophyta; Magnoliopsida; Solanales; Solanaceae
Also listed under: 1 other name
Description: MIR159 microRNA precursor family
Rfam family: MIR159 microRNA precursor family
Source: Rfam by way of RNAcentral
GAUUGAUGUAGAGAGCUUUCUUUGGUCCACAUAUAGGGGUAGUAUGAUUCAAUUAGUUGCCGACUCAUUCACACAAAUGCUAAGGUUUGAGUUGGAAAAACCCUUAGUAACUGAGUGAAUGAAGUGGGAGACAAGUUGAAUCUUAAGCUUCCUGUGCUUGGACUGAAGGGAGCUCCCUCUUGAUUUACU